GACGAACGCUGGCGGCGUGCUUAACACAUGCAAGUCGAACGGAAAGGCCCUGCUUGCAGGGUACUCGAGUGGCGAACGGGUGAGUAACACGUGGGUGUUCUCCCCUGCACUUCGGGAUAAGCCUGGGAAAGUGGGUCUAUUACCCGAUAGGAGCCAUUUUUAGUGUGAUGGUUGGAAAGUUUUUUCGGUGUAGGAUGAGCUGGCGGCCUAUCAGCUUGUUGGUGGGGUAAUGGCCUACCAAGGCGGCGACGGGUAGCCGGCCUGAGAGGGUGGACCGCCACACUGGGGCUGAGGGACGGCCCAGACUGCUAAGGGAGGGAACAGGGAGGAAGAUUGAACCAUGGGGGCAAGGCUGGUGCAGCGAGGCCGCGGGGGGGAUGACGGCCUUCGGGGUGUAAAAUCCCUGCGAUAGGGAAGAAGGUUUUUGUGACGGUACCUAGAUAAGAAGCACCGGCUAACUACGUG
Molecule: ribosomal RNA, 465 nt
Filed under: uncultured bacterium
Lineage: Bacteria
Description: partial 16S ribosomal RNA
Rfam family: Bacterial small subunit ribosomal RNA
Source: RNAcentral